This 299-nucleotide signal recognition particle RNA is filed under the name Aotus nancymaae (Ma's night monkey). Its description in RNAcentral is "Metazoan signal recognition particle RNA (ENSANAG00000012184.1)". It matches the Rfam family "Metazoan signal recognition particle RNA". From Rfam's summary of the family: The signal recognition particle (SRP) is a universally conserved ribonucleoprotein. The record is from RNAcentral. Lineage: Eukaryota; Metazoa; Chordata; Mammalia; Primates; Aotidae.
CCCGGGCGCAGUGGCACGUGCCUGUAGUCCCAGCUACUUGGGAGGCUGAGGUGAGAGGAUUCCUUGAGCCCAGGAGUUCUGGGCUGUAGUGCGCUAUGCCGAUAGGGUGUCUGCACUAAAUUCAGCAUCAAUAUAGUGACCUCCCGGGAGCGGGGGACCACCAGGUUGCCUAAGGAGGGGUGAACCAGCCCAGGUCAGAAACAGAGCAGGUCAAAACUUCCAUGCUGAUCAGUAGUGGGAUCGCGCCUGUGAAUAGCCACUGCACUCCAGCCUGGGCAACAUAGCAAGACCCCGUCUCU